This 279-nucleotide ribosomal RNA is filed under the name uncultured archaeon. RNAcentral's name for it is "partial 16S rRNA". It matches the Rfam family "Archaeal small subunit ribosomal RNA", at positions 1047 to 1325 of the family's 1478-position model. RNAcentral also lists the same sequence under 1 other name. The record is from RNAcentral.
GAGACCCACGCCCACAGUUGCCAGCGUACUCUCCGGAGUGACGGGUACACUGUGGGGACCGCCGCUGCUAAAGCGGAGGAAGGAAUGGGCAACGGUAGGUCAGUAUGCCCCGAAUAUCCCGGGCUACACGCGAGCUACAAUGGUUGGUACAAUGGGUAUCUACCCCGAAAGGGGAUGGAAAUCUCCUAAAGCCAAUCUUAGUCCGGAUUGAGGGCUGCAACUCGCCCUCAUGAAGCUGGAAUCCGUAGUAAUCGCGUUUCAACAGAACGCGGUGAAUAC